GAAAAUUUAUGUCACAAAAAGAGUCACAGUGUAAAUGAGGGGAGAUAAACAAAUCAAGUGGAACUAACCGACUAAAGCCGAAUAAGCCCGAAUAGAACCGAACGGACUUCGAGCAUGUUCGCUUCUGGACGCGAGCCUCAUUCGUCGCGCCUCCUUGGUUGAGUGUAGUGAAGUAAUAUCGUUGUGUGGUGUUCUUUUAUUUAUUCGACAAAUACGCAUAAAUUAGCAUUCCCGCGUUGUGCUAGCAUUGGUAGUAGGAGUAUAAUAUCUUUAUCUUUCAAUUUGUUUUGAAAACAAUUUUCUAAAAAAUGGCGGUUGCGAGCGAUGCUCUAUAUAACGCGAGGAUGGCAUCUUACGUAUCGUCUAGCGCGUAUUACGGUUACGUACCUCUCUGUACAAGAGAAAAUAUGUUCGAUCAUAUCAACGAGUGUAAUAGCGACAGCAGUGCACCUAGUAUCGCGAGUAACCAUUUUGGUUCAGCUAUGGAAACGGAUGAUGAUGGAUAUGACUAUUCUGCGGCGUCAUGCCGUCUGAAUAACCAUUACGUGAUUCCAGAGGCGUCGUUGAGGAGGUGGCACGAGGUCGACAAUAGACAGCAAUACCACUGUUUAUCACCGACGGAGCAACAACAGGCGGUCCAUGGCGCCGACACGACGCGACGCAGGAACCGGAAACGAUCCAAUAACGAUAGUGGUUCAACGAUAGAAUUGAAAAAAUGUCGUAAAGGCAGCUGCGUUUACUAUGGUACAGGGAGUGCAAAGAACUAUGGAUUGGCCACAAUGCAUUAUGAGUCAACGUCAUUAUGCUUAAAUUCCAUCAACGAUAAAACCUUGGAUCAUUCCUUGGUUAUGACUGAAAGCUGCUGCAGGGCAGCAGAAGAUUCAGAUCUUGAUUGAUCAGCUUCUGCUAAGUCUUCAUUGCAACCUGGUUUAAGAGCAGAUGCUGAGGCAGGAGCAUUGUCGUUGUCAGGAGAACUUGAUGUCUAAACAUUGUGAAUAAGUAUUUCUAAGCGAUCUAUUAAUGGAACUUGUGCCAUAGGAGAUGAUGAAGAACCAGCAUGAGUUGAUGCAACUAAUUCAUUUAAUGAACACUGAUUUUCCAAGUUAAAGCCUAGUAUAGCACCCACGUCUGAAUCUUCGUCACUUGAUCGACAACUAUCACUCCCUGUUUGAUCAGCUGCUUCAUUCUGUUUAGAUAUAUUAAUUAAUUAAUUUUGAGUAAAUCUCGAUUAAUUUAACUCUUUCCCAUCGUAAUAGUUGUAGGUAUAGAUAUCCUUUAGUUUCGAAUUAUUUUCAUUCAGACAACGAGUGACGUACGUUCAAUUAAUUAUAACUUGGAAACCUUAAUCUAUAGGAUUGUUUGGCUUAUUGCUAAGAACUUUAAUCUGAGACUCAUCUUUUAUUUAUAUUAUACUUGGAAUACUCAAUUUCAACAGGAAAGAGUUAAUCUUGAAUCAAAUAAAAAAUAUAGAUAUUAAAAAAAAA
Vespula vulgaris is the source of this 1484-nucleotide RNA transcript. RefSeq lists it as uncharacterized. Lineage: Eukaryota; Metazoa; Arthropoda; Insecta; Hymenoptera; Vespidae. The record is from RefSeq and is a predicted model, not a curated record. The transcript has 4 exons.